UACUCCCGCCGGCGACCGGCGCACGGGUGAGUAACACGUAUGAAACCUGCCCGUAGCAGGGGGAUAAGCGGAAGAAAUUCCGUCUAAUACCGCGUAACAACCCGAGGAGGCAUCUCCUCGGGUUUAAAGGAAGCGAUUCCGGCUACGGAUGGUCAUGCGUCGCAUUAGCUAGUUGGCGGGGUAACGGCCCACCAAGGCGACGAUGCGUAGGGGUUCUGAGAGGAAGGCCCCCCACACUGGUACUGAGACACGGACCAGACUCCUACGGGAGGCAGCAG
This 278-nucleotide ribosomal RNA is filed under the name uncultured bacterium. RNAcentral describes it as "partial 16S ribosomal RNA". It matches the Rfam family "Bacterial small subunit ribosomal RNA", at positions 80 to 354 of the family's 1533-position model. The record is from RNAcentral.